RNAcentral lists this microRNA precursor (99 nucleotides) under Hordeum vulgare. RNAcentral describes it as "microRNA MIR1122". It matches the Rfam family "MIR1120/MIR1122 microRNA precursor family". Lineage: Eukaryota; Viridiplantae; Streptophyta; Magnoliopsida; Poales; Poaceae. The record is from RNAcentral.
AUACUACUCCCUCCGUCCGGAAAUACUUGUCCUAGAAAUGAAUAAAAUAGAUGUACAUGCAUUUCUAGGACAAGUAUUUCCGGACGGAGGGAGUAUUUC